This 911-nucleotide ribosomal RNA is filed under the name Ceratocystis fimbriata. Its description in RNAcentral is "LSU rRNA". It matches the Rfam family "Eukaryotic large subunit ribosomal RNA", at positions 1 to 935 of the family's 3401-position model. The record is from RNAcentral. Lineage: Eukaryota; Fungi; Ascomycota; Sordariomycetes; Microascales; Ceratocystidaceae.
AAAGGUUGACCUCGGAUCAGGUAGGAAUACCCGCUGAACUUAAGCAUAUCAAUAAGCGGAGGAAAAGAAACCAACAGGGAUUGCCUUAGUAGCGGCGAGCGAAGCGGCAACAGCUCAAAUUUGAAAUCUGGCUACUUUGUAGUCCGAGUUGUAAUUUGCAGAGGAUGCUUUUGGUGAGGUGCCUUCCGAGUUCCCUGGAACGGGACGCCAGAGAGGGUGAGAGCCCCGUACGGUUGGACACCAAACCUUUGUAUAGCUCCUUCAACGAGUCGAGUAGUUUGGGAAUGCUGCUCUAAAUGGGAGGUAUAUCUCUUCUAAAGCUAAAUACCGGCUAGAGACCGAUAGCGCACAAGUAGAGUGAUCGAAAGAUGAAAAGCACUUUGAAAAGAGAGUUAAACAGCACGUGAAAUUGUUGAAAGGGAAGCGCCUAUGACCAGACUUGUUUCUGUCAGUUUUGCUUGUUUUCGGACUUGUUUACUCUGUCAGUACAGGCCAACAUCAGUUUGUUGUUUGGGAGAAAGGCUUAGGGAAUGUGGCUCCCUCGGGAGUGUUAUAGCCCUUUGCAUAAUACCAUUCGGCAGACUGAGGACCGCGCUUCGGCAAGGAUGUUGGCGUAAUGGUCAUCAGCGACCCGUCUUGAAACACGGACCAAGGAGUCAACCUUAUGUGCGAGUGUUUGGGUGUAAAACCCCAGCGCGUAAUGAACGUGAACGUAGGUGAGAGCUUCGGCGCAUCAUCGACCGAUUCUGAUGUUCUCGGAUGGAUUUGAGUAAGAGCAUAUAGGGUUGGACCCGAAAGAAGGUGAACUAUGCUUGUAUAGGGUGAAGCCAGAGGAAACUCUGGUGGAGGCUCGCAGCGGUUCUGACGUGCAAAUCGAUCGUCAAAUAUGAGCAUGGGGGCGAAAGACUAAU